CUUGCUCCACCGGAAAAAGAGGAGUGGCGAACGGGUGAGUAACACGUGGGUAACCUGCCCAUCAGAAGGGGAUAACACUUGGAAACAGGUGCUAAUACCGUAUAACAAUCGAAACCGCAUGGUUUUGAUUUGAAAGGCGCUUUCGGGUGUCGCUGAUGGAUGGACCCGCGGUGCAUUANCUAGUUGGUGAGGUAACGGCUCACCAAGGCCACGAUGCAUAGCCGACCUGAGAGGGUGAUCGGCCACAUUGGGACUGAGACACGGCCCAAACUCCUACGGGAGGCAGCAGUAGGGAAUCUUCGGCAAUGGACGAAAGUCUGACCGAGCAACGCCGCGUGAGUGAAGAAGGUUUUCGGAUCGUAAAACUCUGUUGUUAGAGAAGAACAAGGAUGAGAGUAACUGUUCAUCCCUUGACGGUAUCUAACCAGAAAGCCACGGCUAACUACGUGCCAGCAGCCGCGGUAAUACGUAGGUGGCAAGCGUUGUCCGGAUUUAUUGGGCGUAAAGCGAGCGCAGGCGGUUUCUUAAGUCUGAUGUGAAAGCCCCCGGCUCAACCGGGGAGGGUCAUUGGAAACUGGGAGACUUGAGUGCANAAGAGGAGAGUGGAAUUCCAUGUGUAGCGGUGAAAUGCGUAGAUAUAUGGAGGAACACCAGUGGCGAAGGCGGCUCUCUGGUCUGUAACUGACGCUGAGCUCNAAGCGUGGGGAGCAAA
Molecule: ribosomal RNA, 712 nt
Filed under: bacterium enrichment culture clone WG_331
Lineage: Bacteria
Description: bacterial SSU rRNA
Rfam family: Bacterial small subunit ribosomal RNA
Source: RNAcentral